GCCAGCAGCCAUAUCACCCUGCAACUCCCACCUGGCAGCCCACUGAAGCUCAGCAGGUGUGAGCCUGGUCGGUACCUGGAUGGGAGACUCCUGGGAAAGCUGAGGUAGCUGCUGGAC
RNAcentral lists this ribosomal RNA (117 nucleotides) under Lepisosteus oculatus (spotted gar). Lineage: Eukaryota; Metazoa; Chordata; Actinopteri; Semionotiformes; Lepisosteidae. The record is from RNAcentral.